This 339-nucleotide ribosomal RNA is filed under the name Theileria sp. Its description in RNAcentral is "SSU rRNA". The stretch from base 143 to 339 matches the Rfam family "Eukaryotic small subunit ribosomal RNA", at positions 607 to 857 of the family's 1831-position model. Lineage: Eukaryota; Apicomplexa; Aconoidasida; Piroplasmida; Theileriidae. The record is from RNAcentral.
GACCAGGGAGCUAGGGGCUAGAAAUAAGAAUUCGGGUCGGGGUAUUGGAAUGGGAGGGAGAGGAAUUUGACCUGAUCCUGAGUAGGAGGGGAGUGCGAGGCAGCUGCGGCGCAGCGGCAGUCCAAUUCCAGUUGCAAAAAUUAAAUUGUAGCAGUAAAAAGAUAGAAGUUGAAUUGUGUUUUGUGUUUUCCGUUGCGCAGGGCGUUUCGGGCUUCGUUUCGUCUUUUCCCGGAUGUUUACUUUGAGAAAAUUAGAGUGCUCAAAGCAGGCUUUGCCUUGAAUAGUUUAGCAUGGAAUAAUAAAGUAGGACUUUGGUUCUAUUUUGUUGGUUAGGACAAG